UGAAAAAUAGCUAGGGGAUUAGUUUUGUAUUUACAAUACAGAGAUACCCGUUUGACUCGGGUUUUUUCAA
Molecule: transfer RNA, 70 nt
Filed under: Amphiura digitula
Lineage: Eukaryota; Metazoa; Echinodermata; Ophiuroidea; Amphilepidida; Amphiuridae
Description: tRNA-Val
Source: RNAcentral